UGCCCGGUGGUCCAAUGGUUAAGACUCUGCACUUCCAGUGCAGGGGUGCAGGUUCGAUCCCUGGUCAGGGAA
This is a transfer RNA of Ovis aries (sheep), 72 nucleotides long. It matches the Rfam family "tRNA". Rfam says of the family: Transfer RNA (tRNA) molecules are approximately 80 nucleotides in length. Their secondary structure includes four short double-helical elements and three loops (D, anti-codon, and T loops). Lineage: Eukaryota; Metazoa; Chordata; Mammalia; Artiodactyla; Bovidae. The record is from Rfam.